GGAUAACGCUGGCGGCCGCUGCUUACACAUGCAAGUCGAAACGAACCUUCGGGUUAGUGGCGGACGGGUGAGUGACGCGUGAGAAUCUGCCCUCAGGAGGUGGGACAACAGCUGGAAACGGCUGCUAAAUACCCCAUAUGCCGCGAGGUGAAACUGAAUUUCGCCUGAGGAUGAGCUCGCGUCUGAUUAGCUAGUCGGUGUAGGUAAUGGCUCACCAAGGCAUCGAUCAGUAGCUGGUCUGAGAGGAUGAUCAGCCACAACUGGGACUGAGACACGGCCCAGACUCCUACGGGAGGCAGCAGUGGGGAAUUUUCCGCAAUGGGCGAAAGCCUGACGGAGCAACGCCGCGUGAGGGAUGAAGGCCUCUGGGCUGUAAACCUCUUUUAUCAAGGAAGAAGAUCUGACGGUACUUGAUGAAUAAGCCACGGCUAAUUC
Molecule: ribosomal RNA, 435 nt
Filed under: uncultured Synechococcus sp.
Lineage: Bacteria; Bacillati; Cyanobacteriota; Cyanophyceae; Synechococcales; Synechococcaceae
Description: bacterial SSU rRNA
Rfam family: Bacterial small subunit ribosomal RNA
Source: RNAcentral